RNAcentral lists this ribosomal RNA (650 nucleotides) under Colletotrichum lupini. RNAcentral describes it as "LSU rRNA". It matches the Rfam family "Eukaryotic large subunit ribosomal RNA", at positions 23 to 698 of the family's 3401-position model. The record is from RNAcentral. Lineage: Eukaryota; Fungi; Ascomycota; Sordariomycetes; Glomerellales; Glomerellaceae.
ACCCGCUGAACUUAAGCAUAUCAAUAAGCGGAGGAAAAGAAACCAACAGGGAUUGCCCCAGUAACGGCGAGUGAAGCGGCAACAGCUCAAAUUUGAAAUCUGGCCCCAGGCCCGAGUUGUAAUUUGCAGAGGAUGCUUUUGGCGCGGUGCCUUCCGAGUUCCCUGGAACGGGACGCCAUAGAGGGUGAGAGCCCCGUACGGUUGGACACCAAGCCUUUGUAAAGCUCCUUCGACGAGUCGAGUAGUUUGGGAAUGCUGCUCUAAAUGGGAGGUACAUUUCUUCUAAAGCUAAAUAUUGGCCAGAGACCGAUAGCGCACAAGUAGAGUGAUCGAAAGAUGAAAAGCACUUUGAAAAGAGGGUUAAACAGCACGUGAAAUUGUUAAAAGGGAAGCGCUUGUGACCAGACUUGCGUCCGGUGAAUCACCCAGCUCUCGCGGCUGGGGCACUUCGCCGGCACAGGCCAGCAUCAGCUUGCCGUCGGGGACAAAAGCUUCAGGAACGUGGCUCCUCUCGGGGAGUGUUAUAGCCUGUUGCAUAAUACCCUUCGGCGGGCUGAGGUACGCGCUCCGCAAGGAUGCUGGCGUAAUGGUCAUCAGCGACCCGUCUUGAAACACGGACCAAGGAGUCAACCUUAUGUGCGAUGUUGGGG